This 251-nucleotide ribosomal RNA is filed under the name uncultured bacterium. RNAcentral describes it as "partial 16S ribosomal RNA". It matches the Rfam family "Bacterial small subunit ribosomal RNA", at positions 524 to 776 of the family's 1533-position model. The record is from RNAcentral.
CACGUAGGGCGCGAGCGUUGUCCGGAAUUAUUGGGCGUAAAGAGCUCGUAGGCGGCCUGUUGCGUCCGCUGUGAAAGCCCGGGGCUUAACCCCGGGUCGCAGUGGAUACGGGCAGGCUAGAGGUAGGUAGGGGAGAAUGGAAUUCCCGGUGUAGCGGUGAAAUGCGCAGAUAUCGGGAGGAACACCGGUGGCGAAGGCGGUCUCUGGGCCUUACCUGACGCUGAGGAGCGAAAGCGUGGGGAGCGAACAGG